AUGAGCCCGCGGCCUAUCAGCUUGUUGGUGGGGUGAUGGCCUACCAAGGCGACGACGGGUAGCCGGCCUGAGAGGGUGACCGGCCACACUGGGACUGAGAUACGGCCCAGACUCCUACGGGAGGCAGCAGUGGGGAAUAUUGCACAAUGGGCGCAAGCCUGAUGCAGCGACGCCGCGUGAGGGAUGACGGCCUUCGGGUUGUAAACCUCUUUCAGUGCCGACGAAGCGGAAGUGACGGUAGGCACAGAAGAAGGACCGGCCAACUACGUGCCAGCAGCCGCGGCC
This 285-nucleotide ribosomal RNA is filed under the name uncultured Actinomycetes bacterium. Its description in RNAcentral is "uncultured actinobacterium partial 16S ribosomal RNA". It matches the Rfam family "Bacterial small subunit ribosomal RNA", at positions 225 to 522 of the family's 1533-position model. The record is from RNAcentral. Lineage: Bacteria; Bacillati; Actinomycetota; Actinomycetes.